Molecule: ribosomal RNA, 234 nt
Filed under: uncultured bacterium
Lineage: Bacteria
Description: partial 16S ribosomal RNA
Rfam family: Bacterial small subunit ribosomal RNA
Source: RNAcentral
UGGCGGACGGGUGAGUAAUGUCUGGGAAACUGCCCGAUGGAGGGGGGUAACUACUGGAAACGGUAGCUAAUACCGCAUAACGUCGCAAGACCAAAGAGGGGGACCUUCGGGCUCUUGCCAUCGGAUGUGCCCAGAUGGGAUUAGCUAGUAGGUGGGGUAACGGCUCACCUAGGCGACGAUCCCUAGCUGGUCUGAGAGGAUGACCAGCCACACUGGAACUGAGACACGGUCCAG